AAUUUUGGACAAUGGGGGAAACCCUGAUCUAGCCAUCUCGUGUGUAUGAUGAAUGCCUUCGGGUUGUAAAGUAUUUUUGGCAGAGAAGAAAAGGUAUCUCCUAAUACGAGAUACUGCUGACGGUAUCUGCAGAAUAAGCACCGGCUAACUUCAUGCCAGCAGCCGCGGUAAUACGUAGGGUGCAAGCGUUAAUCGGAAUUACUGGGCGUAAAGCGUGUGUAGGCGGUUCGGAAAGAAAGAUGUGAGAUCCCAGGGCUCAACCUUGGAACUGCAUUUUUAACUGCCGAGCUAGAAUAUGUCAGAGGAGGGUAGAAUUACACGUGUAGCAGUGAAAUGCGUAGAUAAGUGGAGGAAUACCGAUGGCGAAGGCAGCCCCCUGGGAUAAUACUGACGCUCAGACACGAAAGCGUGGGGAGCAAACAGG
Molecule: ribosomal RNA, 424 nt
Filed under: uncultured bacterium
Lineage: Bacteria
Description: partial 16S ribosomal RNA
Rfam family: Bacterial small subunit ribosomal RNA
Source: RNAcentral